GUAGGUGGCAAGCGUUGUCCGGAAUUAUUGGGCGUAAAGCGCGCGCAGGCGGUUCUUUAAGUCUGAUGUGAAAGCCCACGGCUCAACCGUGGAGGGUCAUUGGAAACUGGAGAACUUGAGUACAGAAGAGGAAAGCGGAAUUCCACGCGUAGCGGUGAAAUGCGUAGAGAUGUGGAGGAACACCAGUGGCGAAGGCGGCUUUCUGGUCUGUAACUGACGCUGAGGCGCGAAAGCGUGGGGAGCAAACAGGAUUAGAUACCCUGGUAGUCCACGCCGUAAACGAUGAGUGCUAAGUGUAGGGGGUUUUCCGCCCCCCUUAGUGCUGCAGCUAACGCAUUAAGCACUCCGCCUGGGAGUACGGCCGCAAGGCUG
Molecule: ribosomal RNA, 372 nt
Filed under: uncultured organism
Description: partial 16S ribosomal RNA
Rfam family: Bacterial small subunit ribosomal RNA
Source: RNAcentral